Oncorhynchus tshawytscha (Chinook salmon) is the source of this 935-nucleotide long non-coding RNA. Lineage: Eukaryota; Metazoa; Chordata; Actinopteri; Salmoniformes; Salmonidae. The record is from Ensembl.
GCCACCUUGAACUAUAGUGUAGCCUACGGCUUGUGUAUUUCCUGUUAUCGCUAAUGGCCUAGAGAAGAUGAUGCCCAAUCUAUAGAUAAUCUGUCUUUCCCUCAACACCUCAUGGUAUGUAUGUUAUCUUAUCUAGCUGUAUACAGAUCUAAAUGUUGUUAGCCAAUCACAGACUGUGUUGUUACCAGUUCCACAUCAGACAACCAAUAAAAGUUGUGUCCACGGCUUUCAGAGGAGUUCAUAGGUGCUAUUCGGAAUCCUUGGGAUGUCCUUUCAAUCGAAUAGAGCAGUUCAUAGACUUCCCCAGAGGUUUGUGCUAUUCGGGAUGUCCAUACCUCUAUCAAGUAUAAAUGUACAUUGGUUAAGUUUAGUGUUAACUUAGGGUUCAGAGUAAGGACAUCCAAAGGAAUCCGGAUUGCGGUGACCGUUCAUAGUGUGAGAGACUGGCACGGUAUUUGAGAGCCCGGCAGCGACACAGACGUUCAUUUUUAUUUAUUUUUUUACAAGCUGCAGAAGCGAUUUGAGUGUCUGCCCCAGAUAGUUUCAUUAGAGACGAUGAUCCAAUUGAGGAUCAAGAUGUGAUGAACCAGAGCAACCAAUCAGCUUCACUGCAGGUGCUCAACCCACCACCCUCUCACUGUUCUCCCUCCACAAGUAACCACAUCCUCUUCUCCUGUUCAACUACUGUGCCACCCCACUAAAAAUGACUGUACAUAUACCCCUGUGCCCAUCUCAGUGUAACAUGAUCCAUCCAAGGCCUCAGCUGGAUGCCUGAAAUGUAAGCAAGAUGCUAUAGUGUGUGUGUGUGUGUGUGUGUGUGUGUGUGUGUGUGUGUGUGUGUGUGUGUGUGUAUAUGGAGUUCCAAGUAAAGACUUGAAGAUGGCAAAGGAAAUAGUGAUGAGAGUGAGAGCAUACAGUAUGGAAAUAAAGACCCC